Molecule: transfer RNA, 68 nt
Filed under: Portunus pelagicus (sand crab)
Lineage: Eukaryota; Metazoa; Arthropoda; Malacostraca; Decapoda; Portunidae
Description: tRNA-Ser
Source: RNAcentral
GGUUAUUUAGUUUAUAAAAAAAUAGAUAUUUUGAAAGUAUUAGAAAAGAGAUUAUCUCUUAAUGACCG